RNAcentral lists this ribosomal RNA (520 nucleotides) under uncultured Glomus. RNAcentral's name for it is "SSU rRNA". It matches the Rfam family "Eukaryotic small subunit ribosomal RNA", at positions 569 to 1087 of the family's 1831-position model. The record is from RNAcentral. Lineage: Eukaryota; Fungi; Glomeromycota; Glomeromycetes; Glomerales; Glomeraceae.
AGCAGCCGCGGUAAUUCCAGCUCCAAUAGCGUAUAUUAAAGUUGUUGCAGUUAAAAAGCUCGUAGUUGAAUUUCGGGGUCAGUAGGUUGGUCGUGCCACUGGUAUGCACUGGUCUCACUGAUUCCUCCUUCCUGAUGAACCGUAAUGCCAUUAAUUUGGUGUUGCGGGGAAUCUGGACUGUUACUUUGAAAAAAUUAGAGUGUUUAAAGCAGGCUAACGCUUGAAUACAUUAGCAUGGAAUAAUGAAAUAGGACGAUCGAUCCUAUUUUGUUGGUUUCUAGGAUUGACGUAAUGAUUAAUAGGGAUAGUUGGGGGCAUUAGUAUUCAAUUGUCAGAGGUGAAAUUCUUGGAUUUAUUGAAGACUAACUACUGCGAAAGCAUUUGCCAAGGAUGUUUUCAUUAAUCAAGAACGAAAGUUAGGGGAUCGAAGACGAUCAGAUACCGCCGUAGUCUUAACCAUAAACCUAUGCCGACUAGGGAUCGGAUGAUGUUAAUUUUUUAAUGACUCAUUCGGCGUACC